This is a non-coding RNA of Boothiomyces sp. JEL0866, 72 nucleotides long. The record is from the annotation of a GenBank genome assembly. NCBI's taxonomy places the organism in Eukaryota, Fungi, Chytridiomycota, Chytridiomycetes, Rhizophydiales, Terramycetaceae.
GGGGGUUUAACUCAGUGGUAGAGUGCUCGCUUCGCAUGCGAGAAGCCAAGGGUUCAAUCCCCUUAGCCUCCA